GACUAAGGUUCGAUUCGAGCGCAGCGAGAAAGCGUUGCCGUAGGCAACGACCCGAAGGGCGAAGCGCGCAGCGCUGAGUAAUCCUUCCCCCACCACCA
RNAcentral lists this small RNA (98 nucleotides) under Salmonella enterica subsp. enterica serovar Agona. RNAcentral's name for it is "partial RtT sRNA". It matches the Rfam family "RtT RNA", at positions 34 to 130 of the family's 130-position model. From Rfam's summary of the family: This family represents a bacterial cis-regulatory element known as RtT RNA. The exact function of RtT is unknown although it is thought that it may be involved in changing the cellular response in relation to amino acid starvation. Lineage: Bacteria; Pseudomonadati; Pseudomonadota; Gammaproteobacteria; Enterobacterales; Enterobacteriaceae. The record is from RNAcentral.